Molecule: transfer RNA, 55 nt
Filed under: Hedera hibernica
Lineage: Eukaryota; Viridiplantae; Streptophyta; Magnoliopsida; Apiales; Araliaceae
Description: partial transfer RNA-Leu (UAA)
Rfam family: tRNA
About the family: Transfer RNA (tRNA) molecules are approximately 80 nucleotides in length.
Source: RNAcentral
GGACUUAAAAUCCGUCGACUUUAAAAUCGUGAGGGUUCAAGUCCCUCUAUCCCCA